ACUCAAAAUGUCUGCACAAAUUAAAAAUCAAAUGCUCAAACCAUAUUUCAUUUCCUCAUUUGGAUUUGAUUUUUAAUUUUCAUCAUCAACCCAGGAGAAACCUGUCAAAAUUGAAUAUAAAAGUCAAUGCUCAAGUCAUGAAUCUGAUGCUCAAAUUAUAUAUCAAAUACUCAAAUGCACAUGGCAAAUGAUAAAUCAAAUGCUCAAACGCACAUCGCAAAUGAUAAAUCAAAUGCUCAAACAGACAUCGCAAAUGGCAAAUAAAAUGCUCAAACCUACAUCGCAAAUGUUACAUCAAAAGUUGAAUGUCAAUCAACCUAGUGUGGGCGGAGCUUUGAGAUGGAAGAGAUCAAGAUCGGAUGGUGGAAAUUGUUUUUCAAACUAUAAUUUUACAUUUGCGUGGACAAGCAACGUCAUUUUUUGUGGUUGAAAGUGCAAGUGAAUUCGUGGAGCUUUUAGUGAGUAGUUAGAAAGCAAAUGUGUUAGACAGACAGUUUUGUUUUUUUUUUUGUUAACACUUGAACACCUGACAGGCGAAUUUAGCAGUCAUACACAGCAAAAAACGUUGGGUUGUUUUUUUUAACCCAACCGUUGGGUUACACAUAUUGGGUCAAUGUGUUGGGUUAUCUUAAAAUUUGUUGGGUAAUUUUUUUCGUCGUUGGGUUAUUAGUUGGGUUAUUUAGUUAUAACCCAACUGUUGGGUUAAAUAUGUUUCCCGCUUCACUCCUGUUCAAAUUUUAACGGUCCAGUCAGAGACUCAGUGCGGACAUCAGCAGCAGCCUGCGUGAUUAUGAAGGGUAAGUAACUGUUAAUAUAAUCAUAUGAUGUAUAUAACUGUCAUAACAUUAAGUAAUGUGUCUGAUAUGUUAAUUAUUGUUUUUUUAUACGUUAAAAAAGUUUUAAUUCCCUUUAGUCCGUUUGUUUCCCCCAGAUAAUCAGAUCGAUUGUCAAUUAAUGCUAUUCAUGUUUGUUAGCCAGUAUUAAUACAAUAAAAGAUUUAGACAAGUAUGACUUAAAAGUUAAUAAAAAUGUUAGAAAAGCCGCACGGACCAUUUAUCGGAUCGGACCAGUGAAAGAAGCUGCUCGAGCGAGCUCUGAGCUCACACACCAGUAAUGCGACAGACAACAGACUCCGCGAGAAUCGUUUGAAUGAACCUGCAAUUUUCUGUUAUAAAAGUUCAAAACCCAGACGAAAGAAGAGCGCGCAGUCGUGAGGCAAUCCGCUCUUUCAGCGGAAAUUUAUACUAGUGCCCCAAAUUUACAUAACAUUACUCCUCCCACCAAUCUUUAAGAGGGGAGCUAAAAACAGAAAAGUCAUAUUCGUCUUAGCGCACCAGCACUAAUUAAUUGUACUGUAAAAGUGUUUUUAUGAUUUAACUUAUUCAUAUUGAAUAUUGUUAUGCAUCUAUUGGAAUACCCUAUAAUUACAGCAGUUUCUCUUAUGAAGCUAGAUUGAUUGACAUGUUUUUUAAAUUUGUUGUACUAAAUGUGUUUAUACUUAUGUUUUAGACAAUGGACUUUUUCGUGAUGGAAAAAAUGCAACAAUAUAAUUUCUGCCUGUUAACUGAAACAUUUCAAGGCCUUCGUGCAGAAAUUAUCUUUAAACCCCUUCCUGCCAUCUGCACCAUACCACACAAAUGGAAAAAUGGUCUGCAUAUCAUACACGGAAAUGAAGUUGUCCUUCAUUGACAUUCAACCUGUUUACACUAAUUAGUGCUGUACUUGAAUCACGAGACAAGCCAGUAUUCACAUGUCUUGAUGCUUGGUGACAAGGAAAACUCCUCCCAAGAUUUUAUUAUUUUAAACGGGGAGGCGAUGGAAUAGAAGACGAUACUACAAGCAGUCGAUCGGUGUUUCAAACUUUUCUUUGUAUAUGACAUCUACUACCCAAAGCCCUCUGUUCCCAUUUGAGAGUUUUUGGAACACACAGUCUUUGAUAGUUUCUUCUGCACACUGUCUCCUCCUUAAAAACUUUGUAUUUAGUAAUCAAUAAAAAAACUUUUUUAUUUUAUUGAUCAUCAGUAGGUCCAGCAGUAUAUUAUUAUUAUUACUUGAUUUUAUGAUUAUUUUUUGUUUUAUUAUAUGUUAUGUUCAUUUUACACACACAGCAGUGAGAAGUGAAUACACACCCGGAACAGUGGGCAGCUAUAAAUCCAGCGUCUGGAGAGCAACUGGGGGUACAGUGCCUUGCUCAAGUGCACUUCAGCCAUGGGUAUUGAGGUUGGGAGAGAGCGCUGUUCAUUCACUCCCUCUCACCUACAACUCCUGCCAGUACCGAGACCUAAAACCUGUGACUUUCGGUUUCCAGGUCCAACUCUCUAGCCAUUAGGCCACAGCUGUGAACUGUAUUUGCACAUUUGUGUGUUUUGAUAUGAAUAUGAAUCAACACAUUUGUACAUCUUGAAAA
Molecule: long non-coding RNA, 2407 nt
Organism: Carassius auratus (goldfish)
Lineage: Eukaryota; Metazoa; Chordata; Actinopteri; Cypriniformes; Cyprinidae
Exons: 3
Source: RefSeq, a predicted model, not a curated record